RNAcentral lists this small RNA (796 nucleotides) under uncultured fungus. RNAcentral describes it as "eukaryotic LSU rRNA". The stretch from base 201 to 354 matches the Rfam family "5.8S ribosomal RNA". The record is from RNAcentral. Lineage: Eukaryota; Fungi.
GGAAGGAUCAUUAUCGAAUUAAACUUGAAGCAGGUUGUUGCUGGCUCUCCUUCGAGGCGCAUGUGCACGCUUGUUUCUCUUUAUUUCUCCAACUGUGCACAAUUUGUAGACUGUUUUGAGGAUUUAUUUCCCUUGGUCUAUGCUUUCACAAUCUCUGAAUGUAAUGUAGAAUGCUUUUGAAUCUGGGGAAUAAUACAUACAACUUUCAGCAACGGAUCUCUUGGCUCUCGCAUCGAUGAAGAACGCAGCGAAAUGCGAUAAGUAAUGUGAAUUGCAGAAUUCAGUGAAUCAUCGAAUCUUUGAACGCAUCUUGCGCUCCUUGGUAUUCCGAGGAGCAUGCCUGUUUGAGUGUCAUUUAAAACUUCUCAACUGCUCCAGAUUUAUUUUUUGGAUGUGGCUUGGAAAUGGAGGGAGUGCAGGCUUUCAUGAAGAGUCUGCUCCUCUGAAACAUAUUAGCGGUGUCUGGGCAAAGACUACCACAGGUGUGAUAACUAUCAAUGCCUUGGUGUUAUGCUGCUGCUGCUUCCAACUGUGUGCAAUGACCAACUUGACCUCAAAUCAGGUAGGAUUACCCGCGAACUUAAGCAUAUCAAUAAGCGGAGGAAAAAGAAACUAACAAGGAUUCCCCUAGUAACUGCGAGUGAAGCGGGAAAAGCUCAAAUUUGAAAUCUGGCGGUCAUUGGCUGUCCGAGCUGUAAUCUAGAGAAGUGCCACCUGCGCUGGACCGUGCACAAGUCUUCUGGAAUGGAGCAUCACAGAGGGUGAGAAUCCCGUCUUUGACAUGGACUGUCUGCAC